RNAcentral lists this ribosomal RNA (465 nucleotides) under uncultured bacterium. RNAcentral's name for it is "partial 16S ribosomal RNA". It matches the Rfam family "Bacterial small subunit ribosomal RNA", at positions 28 to 507 of the family's 1533-position model. The record is from RNAcentral.
GACGAACGCUGGCGGUGUGCUUAACACAUGCAAGUCGAACGGUAAGGCCCUUUCGGGGGUACACGAGUGGCGAACGGGUGAGUAACACGUGAGUAACCUGCCCCCAUCUCUGGGAUAACAGUCGGAAACGGUUGCUAAUACUGGAUAUGAGCCUGCAAGGCAUCUUGUGGGUUGGAAAGAUUUUUUGGUUGGGGAUGGACUCGCGGCCUAUCAGCUUGUUGGUGAGGUAGUGGCUCACCAAGGCUUCGACGGGUAGCCGGCCUGAGAGGGCGACCGGCCACAUUGGGACUGAGAUACGGCCCAAACUCCUACGGGAGGCAGCAGUGGGGAAUAUUGCACAAUGGACGGAAGUCUGAUGCAGCAACGCCGCGUGCGGGAUGACGGCCUUCGGGUUGUAAACCGCUUUCAAUUGUGACGAAGCUUUUUGUGACGGUAGCAGUAGAAGAAGCACCGGCUAACUACGUG